UGUAUGGCUUUUAUAAAAAACCAAUUCAAAUCUUAAAUGAACUGUGCAUUCGUAAACUGAUCUCAGUUGUGAAAAAACUUUCUAGGAAACGCUCUCCGUAAAAGAAACGUGUUGCAGCGCCGCCGGAAUAUCACUGAAUUCAAAUUUUGAAGAAGCAAGUGUACGCACCACCAAAAUUUUGUGAAUGAAACGAACACAUACAGAAAUGGUCACCUACACUUGAACAAACACAUGUUGCACCGGCGCCAGCGACAGCGGAAGCAGCGAACCGAAAACCAAGAUCGCCUGCAGAGAAAGUCCUGGGCAUAUGCGACCUUAAAGUGCGCUACCUAAAAGUGUACUUUUGGAUAUACAUACAUAAUAAUAUAAAAUAUAAUAUAAUUAUGUUUCUCACUGACACUUUA
Molecule: long non-coding RNA, 404 nt
Organism: Drosophila eugracilis
Lineage: Eukaryota; Metazoa; Arthropoda; Insecta; Diptera; Drosophilidae
Exons: 2
Source: RefSeq, a predicted model, not a curated record